RNAcentral lists this ribosomal RNA (252 nucleotides) under uncultured Erysipelotrichaceae bacterium. RNAcentral describes it as "partial 16S ribosomal RNA". It matches the Rfam family "Bacterial small subunit ribosomal RNA", at positions 524 to 776 of the family's 1533-position model. Lineage: Bacteria; Bacillati; Bacillota; Erysipelotrichia; Erysipelotrichales; Erysipelotrichaceae. The record is from RNAcentral.
UACGUAGGUGGCGAGCGUUAUCCGGAAUUAUUGGGCGUAAAGGGUGCGCAGGCGGCAAGAAAAGCUUAAGGUGAAAGCGUGGGGCUCAACCCCAUAAAGCCUUAGGAACUAGCUUGCUAGAGUGCAGGAGAGGGCGAUGGAACUCCAUGUGUAGCGGUAAAAUGCGUAAAUAUAUGUAAGAACACCGGUGGCGAAGGCGGCUUGCUGGGCCUGUACUGACAUUGAGGCACGAAAGCGUGGGGAGCAAACAGG